AGAGUUUGAUCAUGGCUCAGGAUGAACGCUAGCGGCAGUAAUACAUGCAAGUCGAGGGGCAGCAUGAGUAGCAAUACUUGAUGGCGACCGGCAAACGGGUGCGGAACACGUACGCAACCUUCCUUUAAGUGGAGAAUAGCUCCCGGAAACGGGAAUUAAUACUCCGUAAUAUUAUGAAGUGGCAUCGCUUUAUAAUUAUAGAUUUAUCGCUUAAAGAUGGGCGUGCGCCUGAUUAGGUAGUUGGCGGGGUAACGGCCCACCAAGCCUUCGAUCAGUAACUGGGUGAGAGCACGACCAGUCACACGGGCACUGAGACACGGGCCCGACUCCUACGGGAGGCAGCAGUAAGGAAUAUUGGUCAAUGGACGCAAGUCUGAACCAGCCAUGCCGCGUGGAGGAUGAAGGUCCUCUGGAUUGUAAACUUCUUUUAUUUGGGAAGAAAUGCAUUUUUUCUAAAGUGCUUGACGGUACCAGAUGAAUAAGCACCGGCUAACUCCGUGCCAGCAGCCGCGGUAAUACGGAGGGUGCAAGCGUUAUCCGGAUUUACUGGGUUUAAAGGGUGCGCAGGCGGAUAUGUAAGUCAGUGGUGAAAUCUUUGGGCUUAACCCGAAAAUUGCCAUUGAUACUAUAUAUCUUGAAUGCUGUGGAGGUAAGCGGAAUAUGUCAUGUAGCGGUGAAAUGCUUAGAUAUGACAUAGAACACCUAUUGCGAAGGCAGCUUACUACGCAGAUAUUGACGCUCAUGCACGAAAGCGUGGGGAUCAAACAGGAUUAGAUACCCUAGUAGUCC
This 789-nucleotide ribosomal RNA is filed under the name uncultured bacterium. Its description in RNAcentral is "bacterial SSU rRNA". It matches the Rfam family "Bacterial small subunit ribosomal RNA", at positions 8 to 796 of the family's 1533-position model. The record is from RNAcentral.